UACGUAGGGUGCGAGCGUUGUCCGGAAUUACUGGGCGUAAAGAGCUCGUAGGCGGCUUGUCGCGUUGUACGUGAAAAUUUACAGCUCAACUGUGAACUUGCGGGCGAUACGGGCAGGCUAGAGUACUGCAGGGGAGACUGGAAUUCCUGGUGUAGCGGUGAAAUGCGCAGAUAUCAGGAGGAACACCGGUGGCGAAGGCGGGUCUCUGGGCAGUAACUGACGCUGAGGAGCGAAAGCGUGGGGAGCGAACAGG
RNAcentral lists this ribosomal RNA (253 nucleotides) under uncultured bacterium. RNAcentral describes it as "partial 16S ribosomal RNA". It matches the Rfam family "Bacterial small subunit ribosomal RNA", at positions 524 to 776 of the family's 1533-position model. The record is from RNAcentral.